UUGGUUGUCGUCAGCUCGUGUCGUGAGAUGUUGGGUUAAGUCCCGCAACGAGCGCAACCCCUAUUGUUAGUUGCCAUCAUUCAGUUAGGCACUCUAGCGAGACUGCCGGUGUCAAACCGGAGGAAGGUGGGGAUGACGUCAAGUCCUCAUGGCCUUUAUGACCAGGGCUACACACGUACUACAAUGGCCGGUACAAAGGGCAGCCACUUAGCGAUAAGGAGCCAAUCCCGUAAAGCCGGUCUCAGUCCGGAUUGGAGUCUGCAACUCGACUCCAUGAAGUUGGAAUCGCUAGUAAUCGCAGAUCAGCACGCUGCGGUCGAAUACGUUCCCGGGCCUU
RNAcentral lists this ribosomal RNA (337 nucleotides) under uncultured Desulfocapsa sp. Its description in RNAcentral is "bacterial SSU rRNA". It matches the Rfam family "Bacterial small subunit ribosomal RNA", at positions 1045 to 1382 of the family's 1533-position model. The record is from RNAcentral. Lineage: Bacteria; Pseudomonadati; Thermodesulfobacteriota; Desulfobulbia; Desulfobulbales; Desulfocapsaceae.